GGAUCUAUGAUGAUUCCCAGUCAAACAUUCCUUGGAAAAGCUGAACAAAAUGAGUGAAAACUCUGUACCGCCACUCUCAUCGGAACUGAGGUCC
Molecule: non-coding RNA, 94 nt
Organism: Mus musculus (house mouse)
Lineage: Eukaryota; Metazoa; Chordata; Mammalia; Rodentia; Muridae
Source: Rfam